GACGAACGCUGGCGGCGUGCUUAACACAUGCAAGUCGAACGGAAAGGCCCUGCUUUUGUGGGGUGCUCGAGUGGCGAACGGGUGAGUAACACGUGAGUAACCUGCCCUUGACUUUGGGAUAACUUCAGGAAACUGGGGCUAAUACCGGAUAGGAGCUCCUGCUGCAUGGUGGGGGUUGGAAAGUUUCGGCGGUUGGGGAUGGACUCGCGGCUUAUCAGCUUGUUGGUGGGGUAGUGGCUUACCAAGGCUUUGACGGGUAGCCGGCCUGAGAGGGUGACCGGCCACAUUGGGACUGAGAUACGGCCCAGACUCCUACGGGAGGCAGCAGUGGGGAAUAGUGCACAAUGGGCGGAAGCCUGAUGCAGCAACGCCGCGUGCGGGAUGACGGCAUGCGGGUUGUAAACCGAUUUCGCCUGUGACGAAGCGUGAGUGACGGUAAUGGGUAAAGAAGCACCGGCUAACUACGUG
This 468-nucleotide ribosomal RNA is filed under the name uncultured bacterium. RNAcentral's name for it is "partial 16S ribosomal RNA". It matches the Rfam family "Bacterial small subunit ribosomal RNA", at positions 28 to 507 of the family's 1533-position model. The record is from RNAcentral.